AAAGUUUUAAGUUAAUUAAACUAUCAGCCUUCAAAGCUGGAAAUAAGAGAUUCUUAAACUUUA
This 63-nucleotide transfer RNA is filed under the name Artemia sinica. RNAcentral's name for it is "tRNA-Trp". Lineage: Eukaryota; Metazoa; Arthropoda; Branchiopoda; Anostraca; Artemiidae. The record is from RNAcentral.